UACGAAGGGAGCUAGCGUUGUUCGGAAUCACUGGGCGUAAAGCGCACGUAGGCGGAUGUGUCAGUCAGGGGUGAAAUCCCGGAGCUCAACUUCGGAGCUGCCUUUGAUACAGCACGUCUCGAGUCCGGAAGAGGUGGGUGGAAUUCCUAGUGUAGAGGUGAAAUUCGUAGAUAUUAGGAAGAACACCGGUGGCGAAGGCGGCCCACUGGUCCGGUACUGACGCUGAGGUGCGAAAGCGUGGGGAGCAAACAGG
RNAcentral lists this ribosomal RNA (253 nucleotides) under uncultured bacterium. Its description in RNAcentral is "partial 16S ribosomal RNA". It matches the Rfam family "Bacterial small subunit ribosomal RNA", at positions 524 to 776 of the family's 1533-position model. The record is from RNAcentral.